This 543-nucleotide ribosomal RNA is filed under the name uncultured Glomeromycotina. Its description in RNAcentral is "SSU rRNA". It matches the Rfam family "Eukaryotic small subunit ribosomal RNA", at positions 555 to 1098 of the family's 1831-position model. Lineage: Eukaryota; Fungi; Glomeromycota. The record is from RNAcentral.
GCAAGUCUGGUGCCAGCAGCCGCGGUAAUUCCAGCUCCAAUAGCGUAUAUUAAAGUUGUUGCAGUUAAAAAGCUCGUAGUUGAAUUUCGGGAUCAAUAUUUCGGUCAUGCCGUUGGUAUGCACUGUUAUCAUUGAUUUCUCACCUUCUAAAGAACCAUAAUGCCAUUAAUUUGGUGUUACGGGGAAUUAGGACUGUUGCCUUGAAAAAAUUAGAGUGUUUAAAGCAGGCUCACGCUUGAAUACAUUAGCAUGGAAUAAUGAAAUAGGACAUCCGAUUCUAUUUUGUUGGUUUCUAGGAUCGAUGUAAUGAUUAAUAGGGAUAGUUGGGGGCAUUAGUAUUCAAUUGUCAGAGGUGAAAUUCUUGGAUUUAUUGAAGACUAACUACUGCGAAAGCAUUUGCCAAGGAUGUUUUCAUUAAUCAAGAACGAAAGUUAGGGGAUCGAAGACGAUCAGAUACCGUCGUAGUCUUAACCAUAAACUAUGCCGACUAGGGAUCGGAUGAUGUUAAUUUUUUAAUGACUCAUUCGGCGCCUUACGGGAAAC